UACGGAGGGUGCAAGCGUUAUCCGGAUUCACUGGGUUUAAAGGGUGCGUAGGCGGAUAUGUAAGUCCGUGGUGAAAUCUCUGGGCUUAACCCGGAAACUGCCAUGGAUACUAUGUGUCUUGAAUGUUGUUGAGGUGAGCGGAAUAUGUCAUGUAGCGGUGAAAUGCUUAGAGAUGACAUAGAACACCAAUUGCGAAGGCAGCUUACUAAACGAUUAUUGACGCUGAGGCACGAAAGCGUGGGGAUCAAACAGG
This 253-nucleotide ribosomal RNA is filed under the name uncultured bacterium. RNAcentral's name for it is "partial 16S ribosomal RNA". It matches the Rfam family "Bacterial small subunit ribosomal RNA", at positions 524 to 776 of the family's 1533-position model. The record is from RNAcentral.